CCAGAGAUGGCGGGCCCCCGCGCCCCCGUCCCCAACCCUUUGUUGACCAACCACUUUUGCCUCGGGGGUGGAGCGGCCUCCGCCGCCCCCGGUGGACCAACCAACUCUGUCUUUUUACGUCGGAGUCUUUGAUAAAUACAUAA
RNAcentral lists this unclassified non-coding RNA (143 nucleotides) under uncultured fungus. Its description in RNAcentral is "sequence contains ITS1, 5.8S rRNA gene". The record is from RNAcentral. Lineage: Eukaryota; Fungi.